RNAcentral lists this ribosomal RNA (317 nucleotides) under uncultured bacterium. RNAcentral's name for it is "bacterial SSU rRNA". It matches the Rfam family "Bacterial small subunit ribosomal RNA", at positions 28 to 334 of the family's 1533-position model. The record is from RNAcentral.
GACGAACGCUGGCGGCGCGCCUAACACAUGCAAGUCGAACGGAGAUAAUGGAGGAGCUUGCUCCACUGUUAUCUUAGUGGCGGACGGGUGAGUAACACGUGAGCAACCUGCCUUUCAGAGGGGGAUAACGUUUGGAAACGAACGCUAAUACCUCAUAACAUCAUAAUGUGGCAUCAUAUUGUGAUCAAAGGAGCAAUCCGCUGAAAGAUGGGCUCGCGUCCGAUUAGAUAGUUGGUGAGGUAACGGCUCACCAAGUCGACGAUCGGUAGCCGGACUGAGAGGUUGAACGGCCACAUUGGGACUGAGACACGGCCCAG